Molecule: ribosomal RNA, 493 nt
Filed under: uncultured bacterium
Lineage: Bacteria
Description: partial 16S ribosomal RNA
Rfam family: Bacterial small subunit ribosomal RNA
Source: RNAcentral
AUUGAACGCUGGCGGCAUGCUUUACACAUGCAAGUCGAACGGUAACAGGUUAAGCUGACGAGUGGCGAACGGGUGAGUAAUGCAUCGGAACGUGCCCGGUCGUGGGGGAUAACGCAGCGAAAGCUGCGCUAAUACCGCAUUCGAUCUGCGGAUGAAAGCGGGGGAUCGCAAGACCUCGCGCGAAUGGAGCGGCCGGUGGCAGAUUAGGUAGUUGGUGAGGUAAAGGCUCACCAAGCCUGCGAUCUGUAGCUGGGCUGAGAGGACGACCAGCCACAAUGAGGCGGAGACACGGCCCAGACUCCUACGGGAGGCAGGAGUGGGGAAUUUUGGACAAUGGGCGCAAGCCUGAUUCAGCAAUGCCGCGUGCAGGAUGAAGGCCUUCGGGUUGUAAACUGCUUUUGUACGGAACGAAACGGUGAGCUCUAAUACAGUUUGCUAAUGACGGUACCGUAAGAAUAAGCACCGGCUAACUACGUGCCAGCCGCCGCCGUAA